Molecule: ribosomal RNA, 253 nt
Filed under: uncultured bacterium
Lineage: Bacteria
Description: partial 16S ribosomal RNA
Rfam family: Bacterial small subunit ribosomal RNA
Source: RNAcentral
UACGUAGGGACCAAGCGUUGUUCGGAUUUACUGGGCGUAAAGGGCGCGUAGGCGGCCUGACAGGUCACUUGUGAAAUCUCCGAGCUUAACUCGGAACUGCCAAGUGAAACCAACAGGCUAGAGUGCAGAAGGGGCAAUCGGAAUUCUUGGUGUAGCGGUGAAAUGCGUAGAUAUCAAGAGGAACACCUGAGGUGAAGACGGGUUGCUGGGCUGACACUGACGCUGAGGCGCGAAAGCUAGGGGAGCAAACGGG